GAGGGUAUAGCCCAGUGGUAGAGUGUGUGCUUAGCAAGCACAAGGUCCUGGGUUCAAUCCCCAGUACCUCCA
RNAcentral lists this transfer RNA (72 nucleotides) under Camelus bactrianus (Bactrian camel). It matches the Rfam family "tRNA". Rfam says of the family: Transfer RNA (tRNA) molecules are approximately 80 nucleotides in length. Their secondary structure includes four short double-helical elements and three loops (D, anti-codon, and T loops). The record is from Rfam by way of RNAcentral. Lineage: Eukaryota; Metazoa; Chordata; Mammalia; Artiodactyla; Camelidae. RNAcentral also lists the same sequence under 2 other names.